This 512-nucleotide ribosomal RNA is filed under the name uncultured bacterium. Its description in RNAcentral is "partial 16S ribosomal RNA". It matches the Rfam family "Bacterial small subunit ribosomal RNA", at positions 28 to 507 of the family's 1533-position model. The record is from RNAcentral.
GAUGAACGCUGGCGGCGUGCCUAAUACAUGCAAGUCGAACGAAACUUCUUUAUCACCGAGUGCUUGCACUCACCGAUAAAGAGUUGAGUGGCGAACGGGUGAGUAACACGUGGGCAACCUGCCCAAAAGAGGGGGAUAACACUUGGAAACAGGUGCUAAUACCGCAUAACCAUAGUUACCGCAUGGUAACUAUGUAAAAGGUGGCUAUACUACCGCUUUUGGAUGGGCCCGCGGCGCAUUAGCUAGUUGGUAGGGUAAAGGCUUACCAAGGCAAUGAUGCGUAGCCGAAUUGAGAGGUUGAUCGGCCACAUUGGGACUGAGACACGGCCCAAACUCCUACGGGAGGCAGCAGUAGGGAAUCUUCCACAAUGGGCGAAAGCCUGAUGGAGCAACGCCGCGUGGGUGAAGAAGGUCUUCGGAUCGUAAAACCCUGUUGUUAGAGAAGAAAGUGCGUGAGAGCAACUGUUCACGUUUCGACGGUAUCUAACCAGAAAGCCACUGCUAACUACGUG